GUGUAUGGUGUACCUCUGGUGUACCAGUUGUCGUGCCAACGGCAUAGCUGGGUAGCUAUGUAUGGACGGGAUAAGUGCUGAAAGCAUCUAAGCAUGAAGCCCCCCUCAAGAUGAGAUUUCCCAACUUCGGUUAUAAGAUCCCUCGAAGAUGACGAGGUUAAUAGGUUCGAGGUGGAAGCGUGGCGACACGUGGAGCUGACGAAUACUAAUCGAUCGAAGACUUAAUCAA
This 229-nucleotide ribosomal RNA is filed under the name Staphylococcus caprae. RNAcentral describes it as "partial 23S ribosomal RNA". It matches the Rfam family "Bacterial large subunit ribosomal RNA", at positions 2694 to 2925 of the family's 2925-position model. The record is from RNAcentral. Lineage: Bacteria; Bacillati; Bacillota; Bacilli; Caryophanales; Staphylococcaceae.